GCUGGUUCCAAAGCAGAAACAGUGGAGCAGAAGGGCAUUACUGAGGAAAGCUACUCAAUCAUGGCAGCAAAAAAGCAGGGAAAGAAGGAACGGGCCAGGGGCAAGGGAACCCUAUCCACCCCUUCCAGGUCAAGGCCCAGUGACCCACCUCCAACCAGGCUCCACUUUCUAACAGAACAUUUACUACAAACUCAUCAAUGGACGAGUCUACUGAUGAGUAAAGCACCUUCAUGAUCCAGUCACCUUCCAAAAGCCACACCUCUGAACACACGAAACUUUGGGGAUGUUUUAGAUUGAAGCCAUAACGUCUAUACUGUGUAUAGAAAGAUGAAGAUUGAGGGAACCCUUGAGAGCAAGAUUAGAGUUGAACUCCUGCACUUCUGUUUCAGCAAGUGGACAAAAGCAAAUGGCACAUGGCAAUUAAAGUUAAUUUCCAAAAGAAAUUUCAUCUGCUCUGCUCUAAUUGGGGCAAUAGCUAAACUAACUGGAACAAAAGUUGUCCCUGUCAGGAAAAGCAAACUUAGACAUGGAUGGCGGAAACCUUUUCUGUAGAACACUGAUGUGCUCCCAUCCUAUGGACCCAGGAGAUGAAGGAAGAGUUGUCUUCAGCCCAGGAGAGAGUCUGUGUCAUAUUUGCUAUUGGGAAAUCUGAGGUGUAGCCCAAGAAGUCAACUCAAUCCUAGAGAACUCUGGAUGUGGAAUUCUAACCUAGGAGUAGGCAAACUGCAGCCUGCAGGCCAAAUCUAUCCCCAUCUUCUAUUUCUGUCAAUAAAGUUUUAUUGGAACACAGUCACUCCUCUCCUAUUCGAUUAGAUAUGAU
RNAcentral lists this long non-coding RNA (820 nucleotides) under Fukomys damarensis (Damara mole-rat). Its description in RNAcentral is "lncRNA (ENSFDAG00000025715.1)". Lineage: Eukaryota; Metazoa; Chordata; Mammalia; Rodentia; Bathyergidae. The record is from RNAcentral.